CGGGAAACCGGGGCUAAUACCGGAUAACAUUUUGAACUGCAUGGUUCGAAAUUGAAAGGCGGCUUCGGCUGUCACUUAUGGAUGGACCCGCGUCGCAUUAGCUAGUUGGUGAGGUAACGGCUCACCAAGGCAACGAUGCGUAGCCGACCUGAGAGGGUGAUCGGCCACACUGGGACUGAGACACGGCCCAGACUCCUACGGGAGGCAGCAGUAGGGAAUCUUCCGCAAUGGACGAAAGUCUGACGGAGCAACGCCGCGUGAGUGAUGAAGGCUUUCGGGUCGUAAAACUCUGUUGUUAGGGAAGAACAAUUUCUUUUUUGAAUAAGCUGGCACCUUGACGGUACCUAACCAGAAAGCCACGGCUAACUAC
Molecule: ribosomal RNA, 370 nt
Filed under: bacterium J95
Lineage: Bacteria
Description: bacterial SSU rRNA
Rfam family: Bacterial small subunit ribosomal RNA
Source: RNAcentral